This 460-nucleotide ribosomal RNA is filed under the name uncultured bacterium. Its description in RNAcentral is "partial 16S ribosomal RNA". It matches the Rfam family "Bacterial small subunit ribosomal RNA", at positions 338 to 795 of the family's 1533-position model. The record is from RNAcentral.
CCUACGGGUGGCAGCAGUGAGGAAUAUUGGUCAAUGGACGAGAGUCUGAACCAGCCAAGUCGCGUGAAUGAUGACUGCCCUAUGGGUUGUACACUUCUUUUAUAUGGGAAUAAAAUGUUCCACGUGUGAGAUUUUGUAUGUACCAUAUGAAUAAGGAUCGGCUAACUCCGUGACAGCAGCCGCGGUAAUACGGAGGAUCCGAGCGCUAUCCGGAUUUAUUGGGUUUAAAGGGAGGGGAGGGGGAUUGUAAAGGUCGUUGCGGAAGUUUGCGGGUGAACCGUAAAAAUGCAGUUGAAACUGGUAGUCUUGAGUGCAGUAGAGGUGGGUGGAAUUCGUGGUGUAGCGGUGAAAUGCUUAGAUAUCACGAAGAACUCCGAUUGCGAAGGCAGCUCACUGGACUGCAACUGACACUGAGGCUCGAAAGUGUGGGUAUCAAACAGGAUUAGAUACCCGGGUAGUC